Molecule: transfer RNA, 74 nt
Filed under: Candidatus Shapirobacteria bacterium
Lineage: Bacteria; Candidatus Shapironibacteriota
Also listed under: 1 other name
Description: tRNA-Asp
Rfam family: tRNA
About the family: Transfer RNA (tRNA) molecules are approximately 80 nucleotides in length.
Source: RNAcentral
GGGCUUUUAGUGUAGCGGUUUAACACGUCCGCCUGUCACGCGGAAGAUCAUGGGUUCGAAUCCCAUAAGGCCCG